CAAGCCCUGGAAACGGGGUCUAAUACCGGAUAGGACUGCCGGCCGCAUGGUCUGGUGGUGGAAAGCGUUAGUGGUGCAGGAUGAGCCCGCGGCCUAUCAGCUUGUUGGUGGGGUGAUGGCCUACCAAGGCGACGACGGGUAGCCGGCCUGAGAGGGCGACCGGCCACACUGGGACUGAGACACGGCCCAGACUCCUACGGGAGGCAGCAGUGGGGAAUAUUGCACAAUGGGCGGAAGCCUGAUGCAGCGACGCCGCGUGGGGGAUGACGGCCUUCGGGUUGUAAACCUCUUUCAGCAGGGAAGAAGCUGUCCGAUGUUUCGGGUGGUGACGGUACCUGCAGAAGAAGCACCGGCUACCUACGUGCCAGCAGCCGCGGUAAUACGUAGGGUGCAAGCGUUGUCCGGAAUUAUUGGGCGUAAAGAGCUCGUAGGCGGCGUGUCGCGUCGGAUGUGAAAGCCCGGGGCUUAACCCUGGGUCUGCAUUCGAUACGGGCAGGCUAGAGUUCGGUAGGGGAGAUCGGAAUUCCUGGU
RNAcentral lists this ribosomal RNA (531 nucleotides) under uncultured Streptomyces sp. RNAcentral describes it as "bacterial SSU rRNA". It matches the Rfam family "Bacterial small subunit ribosomal RNA", at positions 144 to 674 of the family's 1533-position model. The record is from RNAcentral. Lineage: Bacteria; Bacillati; Actinomycetota; Actinomycetes; Kitasatosporales; Streptomycetaceae.